This is a long non-coding RNA of Manis pentadactyla (Chinese pangolin), 524 nucleotides long. RefSeq lists it as uncharacterized. Lineage: Eukaryota; Metazoa; Chordata; Mammalia; Pholidota; Manidae. The record is from RefSeq and is a predicted model, not a curated record. The transcript is spliced from 3 exons.
GGAAUUCUCCUCCAGGCUGUUUGUGCGACGGCGGUUAAAGACUAGCAGCCAUAAUGGUAUGUAACUGGCCUUUGAGAAAAGAUGAAAUAGAGUCUUGGUUUCUUCUGAAGGCCUUUGCCAGGAAAUAAGCUGAGAAGAGUGCUGUAAGACAGAAAUGAAAACAAGGUCACUUAAGAUUUCGCUUCCUUUUGAAUCACGACUUCUCUGUGGAGUACACUGUAGUUUAGUAGAAUCUCAUUGUUCCAUAGAUGUUGGCCACACAGACAGAACAUCUCCAUCGUCCCUGAGUGGUCACUGGGCAUUUCGUGUGAAGAGGCCUUGGGGUCUGAUCACUGCACCCGUGGAAGACUGCGAUGGGGAGAGCUUCCUCAGCGGCAGCAGUGGUGAGGAGGACUGUCCAGUAACUGAGGUCCUUCCUGUGGACCAGGCAGAGGAGACCGUGCCUGUUGCUGAGGAAGAGACUGUUGAUCUCUCUGAGGUAGAAAUGUUGCUUUCUUGAUAUCUUUCCUUCUGUUAAAGACAAA